AUUGCGUUCCCUCUCUCUCUCUCUCUUGCGCGCUCCCUCUCCUUCUCUCGCUGUCUCCCUUUCCCUCUCCCUCUCCAUCUCUCACAAAUCCCAACCCUCUCUCGCUAUGUUGGGCAUGUUUUAGAUCUAGCAGGCGGGAGAUCAGAGAAUUAUUCUCAUUUUCCGGCGACAUCGAACACAGAGAGAUCCAACUUCUGUUGGCGGAAAUACCUAGUGGAAAAGCUCUAACACAUUCCAAGAAUGCAAGUUGGGGUUCUCAUCAUUACAGUGUUGUGACAUCGAGCCUUGACAUCUGAACAUUCGUAUCUUUCAUCAUGAGUGCAGAGCCCUUCAACAAGUUGGUGAAGCUUGCAGCACGGGCGUUUUAUGAUGACAUACCUAUGAAGGGUGAUAACCAGCCGAAGACUGGGAGGAGUGAUAAUAGAGGAAUGGCUGUGGUGAUCCUUGAUUCUCUUACAAGGCGUCAAUGGGUCAGAGAGGAAGAUCUGGCAAAAGAUUUAAAGCUGCAUUCAAAACAACUUCGCCGCACUUUAAGAUUUUUUGAAGAAGAAAAGCUAGUUACAAGGGAUCAUCGGAGAGAGACAGCUAAAGGCGCAAAGAUAUUUAGUGCUGCAGUAGCUGCCACUGCUGAUAGUCAACAAACUGGGAAAGAUGGUGAAGAAAAGCUGAAAAUGCAUACACACUCUUACUGCUGCUUAGAUUAUGCUCAGAUAUAUGAUGUUGUGAGGUACAGAAUGCACAGGAUGAAGAAAAAACUAAAAGAUGAAUUGGACAACAGGAACACAAUUCAGGAAUAUAUAUGCCCUGAUUGUGCGAGAAGGUAUUCAGCUUUGGAUGCACUGCAACUGAUAAGCCCAAAUGAUGAAUAUUUCCAUUGUGAAAAUUGCAAUGGUGAACUUGUUGCUGAGAGUGACAAGAUAGCUGCUGAAGAAAUGGGAGAUGGAGAUGAUAACGCUAGGAGGAGAAGGCGUGAAAAGUUAAAGGAUAUGCUUCAGAAGAUAGAGGUUCAACUGAAACCAUUGGUUGAUCAACUUACAAGAGUAAAAGAUUUGCCUGUUCCUGAGUUUGGUAGUCUUCAAGCAUGGGAAGCGAGAGCAAAUGCUGCUGGCCGGGCAGUGAAUGGUGAUUCUAGUGCAAAUGAUAACUCUAAAUCUUCUCAGGGGCAAGGAUAUGGUGGAACACCAAUGCCAUAUCUUGGCGAGACGAGGGUUGAAGUUGCUCUAUCUGGUGUCGAGGUGAAGGAAGAGGAUACCAAGCCUGACCCUGCAACUACAUUGAAGGUUUUGCCUCCUUGGAUGAUCAAACAAGGCAUGAAUCUUACAAAAGAACAACGUGGAGAAGUCAAACAGGAAGCAAAGGUUAAUAGUUCAGCACCUGCAGACCUACCUGAUGACAAGAAGUCAAAACCUGAUGAAAAAGAAGAUGAAAAGAAAAUACAGGAUGAAUAUCUUAAGGCUUAUUAUGCUGCUUUUCUCAAGAGGCAACAAGAACAAGAAGAAGCCUCCAAGAGGAAGCAACAGGAAGCAGAAAAGUACAAUGUGACCACAUCUAACAUUUCUAAUGGUCUCGCUGAAACAUCUUCUGAUCGUCGAGUUGGCAUGAAAGCGAAACGGGAGGAAGAGGGAGAUGAUGAUGUUGAAUGGGAGGAGGCACCACCUGCAGGCAAUACAAAAGAAAUUUACAAAUUGCAUGAUCUGAAUGCCCCAGCCGAUGCAUCUGGAGAAGAUGAGGAUGAAAUAGACUGGGAAGAAGGUUGAAACAAUAACGCCUGUCAUUCCAUCUUACUUCUGAGGUUGGUAUAUGGUAGACAUGGCUCGGAAUGAAUGUUUGUUGCAGAUUCCAAUUUCUCCUCCUGAAAAUUUUUACGCUGGUGUAGCUUCAGAAGCUCUUUGGUCUCAAUUGUACUUCUCUAUAAUAGGUCAAAGAAAUGUGUUCGAACCAUAGCAGCAUAUAAUGAGAACCUUUGGGUGAAAGUGAGACGGGGUGGCCUAGACCCAGCUGCUUUGGGGUGGAUUGGAACUGAAGGCUAAAAGGCCUCCAUGCUAGGACCUGGUCAGGACUCCUUGUACAAUAGCCAGCCUGUCCCAGCUUAUUUAAUGAUAGCUGGCGGACAGGGCUAGGGCGGGCCAAGGUAUUAGGCUUGGACGUGCCUCGGAAUGGCCCGGCAUGGACCUUUUACACCUAUAAGUGAAAGUGAAGAUUAGGUUAAGAAUACUAUAUUCAGACACUCCUCCAGCAUGAUCUGUUACUAAGAAAGGAAAAGAACAGUUGGGGUUUUUCAUUUAAGCUGCAUGUAAGUGUAGGGUAGUAGAUUUCUCCGUUAGUUGUUUUUUUUUUUUCCCUUCUUUAUCUGCUUUGAUAUGUUAUUGAAGAAAAAGCCCCACCUGGGUUUCAUUGAAGUGUCAUGUAAAUUAUAUGGACUCAUACUGAUGAAUAAGAUCGACUGUUGGUUGCUCUUCUUGUUUACCUUUUGAGGAUUCGAUGAAACAAUGCUUCUAGAAUCUACUGAUGAA
Molecule: RNA transcript, 2513 nt
Organism: Magnolia sinica
Lineage: Eukaryota; Viridiplantae; Streptophyta; Magnoliopsida; Magnoliales; Magnoliaceae
Gene name: transcription factor efuD
Exons: 12
Source: RefSeq, a predicted model, not a curated record